RNAcentral lists this ribosomal RNA (254 nucleotides) under uncultured prokaryote. RNAcentral's name for it is "partial 16S ribosomal RNA". It matches the Rfam family "Bacterial small subunit ribosomal RNA", at positions 525 to 777 of the family's 1533-position model. The record is from RNAcentral.
ACAGAGGGUGCAAGCGUUAAUCGGAAUUACUGGGCGUAAAGCGCACGCAGGCGGCUGCAUAAGCCGGUCGUGAAAUCCCCGGGCUUAACCUGGGAAUUGCGAUCGGGACUGUGCGGCUAGAGUGUUGGAGAGGGCAGCGGAAUUCCAGGUGUAGCGGUGAAAUGCGUAGAUAUCUGGAGGAACACCGGUGGCGAAGGCGGCAUCCUGGACUACUACUGACGCUGAGUGAGCGAAAGCCAGGGGAGCAAACGGGA